GGAUUAGAUACCCUGGUAGUCCACGCCGUAAACGAUGGAUGCUAGGUGUCGGGGUUCUUAGAACUUCGGUGCCGCAGUUAACGCAUUAAGCAUCCCGCCUGGGGAGUACGGCCGCAAGGUUAAAACUCAAAGGAAUUGACGGGGGCCCGCACAAGCGGUGGAGCAUGUGGUUUAAUUCGAUGCAACGCGAAGAACCUUACCAGCCCUUGACAUCCCGGUCGCGAUUUCCAGAGAUGGAUUUCUUCAGUUCGGCUGGACCGGUGACAGGUGCUGCAUGGCUGUCGUCAGCUCGUGUCG
RNAcentral lists this ribosomal RNA (297 nucleotides) under uncultured bacterium. RNAcentral's name for it is "partial 16S ribosomal RNA". It matches the Rfam family "Bacterial small subunit ribosomal RNA", at positions 775 to 1067 of the family's 1533-position model. The record is from RNAcentral.